CUGGUAGAUAGACAUGAAAGGCCUUGCCUCUAGUCUCUCCAAACCUUUCCUAAUGGGCCGGUAUAGGGCAUGAGUUACUUGUGCUGCAAGAGAGUAUUCUAAAUGUUCUACCAUAGACUUGAGGUAAGUGGUGGUGAAAGCAAGUGCUUCAUCUAGUAUAUCUUCUUCCCACACCCUGAGAUGUGCAGCUUCAUACAAGCCUAGUAGGCCAUAUGCAUCAUUGAUCAAAGACUCCUUGAACCUUCCCUUUUCAUCUGUGUACCUGUUGAAUAUAUCUGUAAUCAUCACCAAAACAUAGAAUUUUAUAUGUGAGCUUUGCUAGAUGAUAUUCAAGCACCUUAUAAUACAUGAUAUUCAUGAGGCUUACCACAUGAAACAUUGAAGCCUUGUUGUCUUAGUAGUCGAAAUCGAAGUGCAACAUCAUAGAGAUCAUCAUUUAUGUCAUCAAUGCAAUGAUAGUUAUCAUAGGUAUUUUGUAAUGCUUCUUCUAUCUCCUUUUCAAAGUGGUAUGCCACCCCAAGCCGUUGAACUGCAUCAUAGAGAUCAUCAUUUAUGUCAGCUGUUUUGAAGGGUUACUAGCUGCAGCCAUCAGCUCUCUUCUAACUUCCCCUUUUAGAUCUUCCAACUGCUGCUCUUUAUGGGCCAGAGUUAUCUGUAUCAAUAAAUUGCAAGAACAAAAAGUGAGAAAAUCUUUAGGUCUUGUUAUGCAAACUACAUACAUGAUCAGAAAAUCACCUCAUCCUCAGGAGUGUGGCUCACGAUGAAGGUAUUGCCCCAAAUGCUAGGCUGAUAAUUUGCAGUUCGGCGAUUAGUCUCUGGAUUAGCAACUGGGGCUGGAGAAGACCCGUUGCUGGUAGCGAGAAUUAAGGCCAUGUGUAACUCACUCGAGCACUCAAUAUAUGAAUCAGAUGGCUUGCAAUCUUCGGUAUUUAUAGGACGGGAAAUGGUUCAUUACAAUUAUUGAAUAUCAAUCCCAGAUUCCCAGAAGCAUGGAUACUAUUAAUUCAAGGUCACCUAUCAUAUUUAAACCAAGAUUCUUAAAAAUUAAAUAUUUAAAAUAUGGUUUUUGUUCUCUUAGAAAUACGAAGUGUAUCUUAUUCCCUUAAUAAUUCUCAAUAUUCAACCAGCCGCCAAACAGUGAUUAAGACUUUCUCACGCGAAGAUCAAACUUAUGAUUGAUCUUUUAUUGUCCAAUAAUAUCCUAAUAAUAAAAUAAUUUUGAUAUGACUAGGAAACUAAGUUCUUUUAUAUAAAAACCAAAAAUUAUUUUGGUACGAAGCCAUGAGAAACUAGCAGCCAAAUUAAAGCAAUUAGGCCAUGUUUGGUAUGAAGCCAAAGCAAUUAGGCCAUGUUUGGCACGAAGCCAAAACAUGACUAUAUUUGGUACGCAAAAAUGAAGAGUGAGAAUAGAUAUUUUAUCCAUUUUCUUAUUCAUUUUCAUAUUUGAAUGAUUUAAGUGUAGUAAGAAUAAAAUCAAGAAUAAUUUCAUAAAAAAUAAAAUCCCAAUUAUAAGUGGGAUUAUGAUUUAAAAGUUAAAAAUCAAAAACUUAUUUUGGAUAAGUUGUUUUAAAAAUAAUUUUUUAUUUUGAUUUUGUAAAAAAGAAAUUAUAAAUUCAAUUUAUAUAAUAUAAAAUAAAUUUAAUUCAAGUCUUAUAAAAAAAUAAAAAUAAUUUUGUUAAUUAUAAAUAAAUUUUAAAAAUAAAUAAUUUUUAAUAAAACAUGAAUAGGAUUUUAGGGAAAAAAAAAGUUAUCAAUUUCACUUUCAUAUUCAUGCAAUUCCAAAGUUUCGACAUUGAACUAGAAAUUUCUCUAUUCUUACAUGUAAAAAGGCAAAAAAGAAAAACCCUUAAUUAGUAAAAUGAUAAGUUAGUUGAAUUAUUUAAUUAUCCUAUAAAUGCAUCUAAUUUUUUACACAAUUAGUGGACCUAAGUAAAUUGUGUCAUACUUAAACGAACUUGAACUUCCAAUUUCAACCUAAUAAAAGAUCAUAACUUAUAAUUUUAUGAAGUAUAUAAUAAACAAGAAAGAAAAGAUGAAAAGGAAAAAACUAAAAUUAAUAGCUAAUAAUAAUAAUUAAAUAGUAAUAAUAAUAAUAAUUUUCAUAAUAAUGAAUUAAAUAAUAAUAACGCUAGCAACAACAAUAACAUUAAUAAUUCUCUAUAGAGUUAAAUAUUUAAUUAACUUUAAACACACUAGUUAGUGUCCAUUAUAAAGUGAAAAGAAAAUAUUUGGUGAGUAUUGUAGUACUCCAAAACACCAUUACACAUUAACAAGGAGAUCCAGAUUUGUUGUAGGCAUAUAUUCUACAUAUGUAUUUUAAGACUCAGUAUCAAUACUCCUCAUAUUGAAUGACAAUAAUAAAUAUGUAUUAAAGAAUAUAAUAUAAUAAAGUUUAUUAUAUAUAUAUAUAUAUAUAGAUAUAUAUUAGGUGAUUUAAGUAAUACAUAUUCUUAUUUAAAUAUUCAGGUAAUAUUCCAAAGUAAAACACUAUGAACCCAGAGAAACUAGGUGCUUCAUAUAAUGUGUCCCCUUGCCGUAUUACAAUGAUUUAUUUCAUAUUUCUACUCCUUCACCUUAUUAUAGUGAUUUAUUAGAUAUUACUGCUUCCACAAGGCAAUACACGGGAUGGUAAUCAACUACUACAUUUGGUUAUAUUACAGCGUUGAUGAAGACAGACGCAAUGUUAUCCCUCAUCACUUUCCCAACAUGUGUGUACGAAUCUUGCUCUUUGUAAAUGACAUCCAUGGUUCGUGUAAGAUUGAGAAGACGAGCAAGGAGAGGCAUUGAAACAGCAGUAGGUUUGAGGCAUUCCUGGUUAAUAUCCAGCCAUGCAUUCUCAAUUUGCUUUCGAAAUUCACUGUAUACUUGUUCCUCAGAGACACCAUAUUGCUUCAUGUAACAUUCAACAGCUGAGGCCACAUGCCCUCUCUUUUGCUCAAACUGCAUGUAUAAUACAAAAGUUGAGAAAAAACCAGUGUGUUAUAUUCUCCCCAUUUGAAUCAUAUAUUCUUCAUACCUUAUGUGAUUUGAUGUCAUCCAUGAGCCUCGUAAUGAAAUUUGAAGAUGACAUAAUCUUAGGAUCGCUGGUCACCCAAUCAAAGGCCUCCUUUGUUGCUAUUUCUCCCAUUCCCACAAAGGACGUGGUUGCAAGCAGGCAGUAUCCAGAGCUUGCUAGUGCAACACGCAUGUACUCUUCAAAUGCUGGUACGUGUUCUUCAUGUAACCAUUUGGCCUCGGCAAAGUAAGCUCGAACUUGAUUCUUCAUCUAAAGAACAUUCAUCCAAGUUAUAUCUAUGUAUAUAUGAGACCAUAUAAAAUAUCAUCAAUGAAAAAGGUGGGGAUCCAGAGUAAAAGAUGUCCUACUACUUCUUUGGCAUAGUGAACCCGAUAUUGGUUUCCUUCUUUCUCCAUCUCUUCCUCGAUUUCUUUGUACACAUCUAAGAGUGCCACAUAGCAGAGUUUCAUGUAUUCUGGAAGCUGAUUUAUGCUGUUAAUAUCCCAUCUGAAAAUAAAAUAAUGACCCUUGAUUUACGUAUAUAUAAAUACAUCUAUUAUACACAAUCAAGGUUGGUAAUGUGCAAGGAGCAAACCUCUCAAUGGCUUCUAUGAAGAGCUUGAGUUCUUCAGGUGUGCCAUAUGCAUCAUGGAUAUCAUCUAGAAUGGAUGUCAUGGCAAUUACUUUGGUUAGAAUUCGUCUACCCCGUAAGUAUUGGGGCUCAAAAUACACCCCAUGCAUCCAAAAGUAGCCUUCAACCAAUCUGUCUCGUGCAAAAGGUAACUUUGUAGCAAAGUCUAAUUCUUUCCACCACCUAAAAGACAUUAAUAUGAUCAGCAUACAGGAAAGUGAUAAGAAUGGCCAAGUACAUGUGGGGUGAUCUAAACACCAACCUUGCAAGAUUGCUUAGCUCUUCCUUGUGCAGUGACUGCACUAGAUUGAAAUCUAAUUUUCCUAGCUCUAGUAAAGUUUUAUCAUGGAAAGCUUCAUCUUGGUAGACAGAUAUAUACCAUCUUGCCUCUAGCCUCUCCAAACCUUUUCUAAUGGGCCGGUUCAGGGCAUGAGCAACUUGUUCUGCAAGAUGAUAUCCUAAACUUUCUACCAUGGCCUUGAGAUGAGUGGUGGUGAAAGCAAGUGCUUUUGCAAGUAUGUCCUCUCCAUGAACCCUCAGAUGUGCAGCUUCAUACAAGCCUAGCAUGCCUCUUACAUCGCUGAUCAAAGCUUCCUUGAAUCUACCUCGUUCAUCCGUAAACUUGUUGAAUAUAUCUACACAAACAUCACCACUUGAAAAUAAGACUUAAAUGAUAAGCGAUGAACCUGUGUACCUGUGGAAUAUAUCUGUAAUCAUCACCAAAACAAUGUUAUAUGUGAGCUUUGCUAGAUGAUAUUCAAGCACCUUAUAAUUCAUGAGGCUUACCACAUGAAAUAUUGAAGCCUUGUUGUCUUAGUCGAAAUCGAAGUGCAACAUCAUAGAGAUCAUCAUUUAUGUCAUCAAUGCAAUGAUAGUUAUCAUAGGUAUUUUGUAAUGCUUCUUCUAUCUCCUUUUCAAAGUGGUAUGCCACCCCAAGCCGUUGAACUGCAUCGAUAAACUUCAGCUGUUCUAAAGGGUGACUAGCUGCAGCUAUCAGCUCUCUUAUAACUACCUCCUUUAGAUCUUCCAACUGCUGCUCUUUAUGGGCCAGAGUUAUCUGUAUCAAUAAAUUGCAAGAACAAAAAGUGAGAAAAUCUUUAGGUCUUGUUAUGCAAACUACAUACAUGAUCAGAAAAUUACCUCAUCCUCAGGUGUGUUGCUCACGAUGAAGCUAUUGCCCCAAAUGCUAGGCUGAUAAUUUGCAGUUCGGCGAUUAGUCCCUGGAUUAGCAACUGGGGCUGAAGAAGACCCAUUGCUGGUAGCGAGAAUUAAGACCAUGUGUAACUCACUCGAGCACUCAAUAUAUGAAUCAGAUAGCUUGCAAUGUUCGGUAUUUAUAGGAUGGGAAAUGGUUCAUUACAAUUAUUGAAUAUCAAUCCCAGAUUCCCAGUAGCAUGGAUACAAUUAAUUCAAGAUCACCUAUCAUAUUUAAACCACGUUUAUUAAAAAUUAAAUAUUUAAAAUAUGUUUUUUGUUCUCUUAGAAAUACGAAAAGUGUAUCUUAUUCCCUCAAUAAUUCUCAAUAUUCAACCAGCCACCAAACAGUGAUUAAGACUUUUUCACGUGAAGAUAAAACUUAUGAUUGAUAUUAUUUUUAUAAAAACACUAAAAAACUAUUUUUUGCUUUUUAACUUUUUGGCAAAUAAAUGAAGAAGAAUACAAAAAAAAAUUGAAAAAAAAGUAAAUAAAUAAAGAAGAUGAUAUUUUAAUUUUUAUUUAAUAUCUUAAUUUUUAUUAUCUAAAAUUAUUUAAUUAUUAUAAUUAAUGAUAUUUUGAGUUUAAUUAUGAUUAAAUAUAUAAUUAAAUUAACUAUAUAUAAAAGUCUUAAAUUGAGAUAAGUUGAUAAAUGAUUGAUUGUGGAUUGAAAUUUUACUCCUAAAAUAUGCAUGUGGCUUUCGGUUGUCAAGGCAUAUGUUGGGAAGCAGUUAUGCUUGGUUACGAGUUAUAUAAGCUUACGGCUUUAGAUUUGCAUGAUUAUCUUUCUUUGAAUGAGACAGUUACGAAGAAGGGGGCUUGCCAUUCCACUUUUAUUCAAACUGUUUGUCCUUAUUCUCAACAAAGGAAGCAUUUUAUUCAAAACAGAACACUCUAAAAGUUUGAAAAUCUAGCAGCCAAAUUAAAGCAAUUAGGCCAUGUUUGGUACGAAGCCAAAGUAAUUAGGCCAUGUUUGGCAUGAAGCCAAAUCACGACCAUGUUUGGUACAUAGAAAUGAAGAGUGGAAAUAGAUAUUUUAUUCAUUUUCUCAUUCAUUUUUAUAUUUGGAUGAUUUAAGUAUGAUAAGAAUAAAAUCAAAAAUAAUUUCAAAAGAAAUGAAAUCCUACUUAUAAGUGGGAUUAUAAUUCAUCUCUAGAAGGAGUUAUUUUACUUCAUUAUUACAAGUUAAAAUUAUAAAUAAAUUAUAAAAAUAAAUAUUUUUUAAUAAAAUAUGAAUAGGAAUAUCAUAAUAUAAUCAUAAAUUUUAUUUUUAAUAAAUAUUAUAAAAAUAUGGAUAUUAACAUCUUAUAAAAGCAUAAUUGAUUUAUUUUGUUAAAAAUAAAUAAUAAUAAUUUAAAAUUUAUAAUUACUUAUACUAUUUUUUUAAAUUAUUAUACUUACUACUUUGUUUUAAAAAAUUAUUUCGAGAACAAUAACUGGCAGUGGUAUUAAUUUUUAAAAACAAUUUUAUUUUUAAAAGAAAAGCCUAAAUAGGUUUUUAUUAUUUAGCAAAAAAAAAAAACCUCUCAAAUAUUUUCUUUUUUAAAUGAAAAUAAAAAAAUUAAUUUAAAUGAUGUAUUCUGUAAGAGUUUUUUUUUUUUUUUUUUGAAAUAAAAAUAAAAGAUUAAAGACACUAUAAAUUAUGAUUAAAAUAAUGAAAAUUAAUAAAAAGAUAUUGGCUUUUUUCUUAAAUACGAAAUAUUAAAAAAAAAAAGAUAAAUAAAUAAUAUAACUAUGUAUUUUUUUUUUUCUUACAAGAAUUUUCAUAGCUUUAAAAAUAGUAACCUUUUAAUUUUUUUGCUCUUAUUUAUUAUUAACCGAGUUGUAUAAAUUGCAUUAUAAUAGUUUCCUUUAAAACCAAAAUAAAAAUCAAAACAUGUGCUUCAUGACACUAUUGGAUGAAAAAGAAUCACUUAAUUUUCAUCUACUAGAUCCCAGCUGCCACCUAAUAUUAAUGACUUGUUUGGAUAUGUUGAGUUAAUUUAACCAAAGAGACUCUAGAAGGCUAAUAUUUUUCUUGCCAUCAGUCUCUUCCGUGCACAACCCUUUCAAAUCAUGGGCCCCAAAACUAAACCAAAUUCCACAUACUUUUCAACUAAAUACAACCAAUGAAUGCCAGUGCUGCCCUAUAAAUAAUAUGGAGCUUGCCAAGCUAUUUCUCUCAUACUUACCAAUUCAUCAUUCAAGGUAUAAUACUGUUCUAUCAUUGUUCCAAGGAAUUAACAUGUCUACUCAAGUCUCAGCAUCUUCUCUAAAAACAAAUGUUGUGUGCUACAUUUCUACACUGACUUUUAUGUUUUAUGAUAGCGCUUGAAGAGCAGUUCAGGUACGCACCCUAACUCUCCUUUAUUGCAAUUUGAUCGUGUUUGGCAUGCCACUUUUUAAAAUCAUCUAGCCUAUUUAGGUAUCUAUAAUUAGCUGAUUAAUUGCCACACUUCCCUUAACUUUGUCAGUAGAGACCUUUAUAGGGCUUAGAGGGGUGCUACCUUUUAAAGGUACCUUCCCAAUAGGUAACCUGAUCCUCGGAUUUAGACUCGGGUUUUUCAAAGAUACGCUUUUCUAAAAUUUAUGGAGUCAUUUCUUAGGGUUUUAUUUCUUGUUUUAUUUUCCCUUUAAAAUAAAAAUAAAAUAAGUGGUGACUCCAACUUUUUUUCCAAAAAUCAAUUUUUCACCAAUAAAAAGCAAGUCUCACCGAUCGAGUGGGGGCGCACAUGAAAAAUGCGGGUCCACAAUCGACAAUAAAUCGACGAUUUUUUGGGCAAUUUUUUGAAAUUUCUUCCUACUGCAUCCAACGGUCAGAUUUGAAUUUUUGACGAUUCGAUGGCCCAGAUUUCACCUGUGUUUUUUAUAAAGGCAUCCAAUAGUCAGAAAUUGGUUUUCAACAAGAGUUUUAAAUUGGAAAAAAGUGGAGUAAACCUGAUCCUUAGUGAGGAGCAAAUAGAACCAUACAAACCUAGAGUAAUCAUCCAUGAGCAACAGAAAAUACCGGGCACCUGUGGAAGAAGGAACAGGUGCUGGUCCCCACAAGUCUGCAUGGAUGAGUUCAAGAGGAGAGGAGGCCCGGGAAAUGGACAAAGAAAAAGGAACUUUGUGACUUUUGGCACAACAACAAGCAUUGUAAACAUCAACUGUUUUAUUUGAGUUAUGUGAAAUAUUACAUGUAUGAAAAAUUUUCUGAAGAAUUACAGCAGAAGGGUGGCCAAAUUGUUGAUGCCACAGCAUAGUAGUGGGUUGAGUUUUUGUGAGAAAUACUUGAUGUUUAAGACUGGCAGUAGGUGAACUGAUAGAUGAGGUAGGAAACUUGUAGAGUCCACGUUCAAGUUGGCCUUGGAGGAGAGUCACUUUGGUGUCCUUAUCCUUGACAAAAAAUGAAGAAGGAUGAAAUUCCAUAAUGGUAUUAUUGUCAGUACAAAAUUUUGACACACUGAUGAGAUUUGAAGUGAGUUGUGGAACAUAGAGCACAUUGUGUAAGACAAAGGGUUUGGCAGAAGUGUGGAGAAAGGAAUGACCAACUUGGGUUAUGGGUAGAGACUUACCAUUGUCAACCAUCACAGAGUCAGUACCAUUGUAGGGAGUACCAUUGUGGAUAUUAGCAGCCGUGUGGGAGAGAUGGUGGGUGGCGCUUGAAUCCAAAAACCAAGAGUCCAUUAAUGUUGGGGAAGGUGCUGCCAUCAUAGCUUGAGCAAGAGGAAUGGGACCAAUUUGAGAGGUUGAUGAGGCUGGUGCACGUGGCCCUUGAUAAUUCACAUCAAAUCUGUGAUAACAAGAGAGGACCAUGUGCCCAAACUUGCCACAUAACUGACACUGCGGUCGGUUAUUUGUCCGGGAUCGAUUAUUGUUGAAUCGGUUAGGGCGAUAUCCUUGAGGAUAUUGCUGCCGUGAAUCCAGAAGAGUGUCAGGUCGUAUGGUUGGCAUGAACGACUGAGGUGGUUUCCCUUGAGAGGGUUUUUUGGACUGUGACCUUCGUGGUCUAUUAUGAGUUGCAAAGUUGGCAAUGAGGAGGUCUUCUUCAGUAGGCGUGGUUUGAAGAGGCAGCCUCUGUUCAUGAGUCAAAAGGAUGCUAUGUACUGCAUGAAGCUGAAUGUCAUCAUCUCUAGUAGUGAGAGAAGCUAUGAUGGGGUUGUAUUCAGCCCCUAAUCCACUCAGUAAUUGAAGGAUUUGAUCCUUUUCUGGCACUGGUUCUCCAAUAGCUGCCAGACUAUCAGAGAUGUGUUUGAGUUUUUGGAUGUAUUCCAUCAUGGUGAGAGAGCCUUUUUUGUUUGUUUGAAAAGCAAGUCUCAACUGCAUUGUUCUUGCUUUGGUGGAAGCAGAAAAGCUUCGUUGGAGGGCUGUCCAUGCUUCAUGGGAUGUUUGUAGCCCAACAAUUUGACCCAUAACAUCUGGGGUGAGAGAGGAGUAGAUCCAACUCAGGAUCAUACGGUCAUAUCUCCUCCAAACCAGAAAAUCUGGGUUCACUUCACCGGUGGAUAUUGUUUUUGGAGGACAUGGUCUCAGACCUUCAAUAUGGUCCUCAAAUCCAUUGGCAUAUAUCACAUUUUCCAUUUGUGUAUGCCAAAGGAUAUGAUUAUCUCUAUCUAGUUUGAUAGGAAGAGGAUGAUUCAGCAUGCUCAUGUUCAGGGUAGGGAUUACCUGAGAAGAGACAAUCUCCAGCGUGGUCUGUGUUGAUGAAGCCAUCGGAGUAGGUACAGUAUGUUCUUGAAGUGAGUAAGCAAAGAUCAAAAGAAAGUUGCAGCAGAAAAUGUUGCUGGAGAUUUCUUAAUUGUCUUGCUGGGAGAGAAAUCAGAAAAAAAAAUUCAGGAGCCUAUGGCUCUGAUACCAUGAAAGUGCUCAGGCACGGAUUUAGCAAGAAUAAGGAGUUUAUUCUAUUCACAACAUGAUUGUACAGUAUAUCAAUAGCUAUAUAUAUAUAUAUAUAUUACAGCAUCUAACUAAUCUAACCAUCUAACUAAUCUAACCACUUUCUAACUCGGCAUAACAGCAUCUGUUAGAGAAGACUCAGCAUAACAGCAUCUGUUAGGGAGGAGAAGAAUUAGCUACUAACAUGGGUGUUUGUCUAUCAAUACUUGAAAAAGCACUUGCUUUCACCACCACUCAUCUCGAGGCCAUGGUAGAAAGUUUAGGAUAUCAUCUUGCAGAACAAGUUGCUCAUGCCCUGAACCAACCCAUUAGAAAAGGUUUGGAGAGGCUAGAGGCAAGAUGGUAUAUAUCUGUCUACCAAGAUGAAGCUUUCCAUGAUAAAACUUUACUGGAGCUAGCAAAAUUAGAUUUCAAUCUAGUGCAGCCACUGCACAAGGAAGAGCUAAGCAAUCUUGCAAGGUUGGUUUUUAGAUCAUAUUAAUGUCUUUUAGGUGGUGGAAAGAAUUAGACUUUGCUACAAAGUUACCUUUUGCAUGAGACAGAUUGGUUGAAUGCUACUUUUGGAUACUUGGGGUGUAUUGUGAGCCUCAAUACUUACGGGGUAGAUGAAUUCUAACCAAAGUAAUUGCCAUGACAUCCAUUCUAGAUGAUAUCCAUGAUGCAUAUGGAACACCUGAAGAACUCAAGCUCUUCAUAGAAGCCAUUGAGAGGUUUGCUCCUUGCACAUUACCAACCUUGAUUGUGUAUAAUAGAUGUAUUUAUAUAUACGUAAAUCAAGGGUCAUUAUUUUAUUUUCAAGUGGGAUAUUAACAACAUAGAUCAGCUUCCAGAAUACAUGAAACUCUGCUAUGCGGCACUCUUAGAUGUGUACAAAGAAAUCGAGGAAGAGAUGGAGAAAGAAGGAAACCAAUAUGGGGUUCACCAUGCCAAAGAAGUAGUAGGACAUCUUAACUCUGGAUCCCCACCUUUUUCAUUGGUGAUAUUUUAUAUGGUCUCAUAUAUACAUAGAUAUAACUUGGAUGAAUGUUCUUUAGAUGAAGAAUCAAGUUCGAGCUUAUUUUGCUGAUGCCAAAUACACAAGUACUUGGAUAUGGAGUACAAAGAUAUGGAAGCUUAUGUUAAUAUUCAAAGAGAAAAGUGGAAGACUUAUGGAUGCACAAUUAUGUGUGAUGGAUGGACUAGGCCCACAAAAUUAAGCAUAAUUAAUUUCAUGGUAUAUUCGAAAGGUAGGACAAUCUUUCUCAAAUUUGUCGAUGCAUCAAAUUAUAUAAAAGACAACAAAUACAUAUAUGGUUUGUUGAAGGAUGUGAUCAAGGAAGUUGGCAAACAAAAUGUGGUACAAAUAGUUACGAAUAAUGGUUCGGCAUUUGUGAAAGUAGGAAGCUGUUAAUGAAGAAAUAUAAUUUAUAUUGGACUCCAUGUGCAGCAUAUUGCAUUGACUUAAUGUUUGAAGACAUCAAUAAAAGGUCGAGUAUUGCAAAUGUGAUUACAAAGGCUCAAAAGAUAACCAACUUCAUCUAUAACCAUAGUUGGUUGUUUGCGUAGAUGUAGAAGGUGUGAUGGAGACAUGGUUCGCCCUAGAACAAUAAGAUUUUCAACCAAUUAUAUUGCCCUUGAGAGUCUUUUGAAAAAAAAUGUGGACUUGAAGAACGUGUUUAUCAAUGAUGAAAGAGCACAACACAAGUUAAGUCGACAAAGAGGUUGAAAAACUUAUGUUUGACCUUGCAUACUGGGAGAGAAUGGGAAAGCUAGUGUCAAUUUAUAAAGCACUAUACACGAUUCUUCACAUUGUCGAUUUAGAAGUUGUUCCUACAAUGCCAUUUAUGUAUAAAUUGAUUCGAUUUAUGAAAGAAAACCUCAUUCGGUUUAAUGUUAGAGAAUGGGUGUUAGAAAUAAUUGCAGAUUGUUGGGAUAGAACUCUUAAACAUCCUCUUCAUGCAAUAGGUAACUAAGUAUUAUCCAUCUUUAAAAGUUAUCGGUAUUUAAUAUGUUUCUUUCGUAACAUUCUAAUUCUACAUUUUUACUUUACUAUUGUAGCAUUAUUUCUUAAUCCAAGGUUUCAAUAUAAACGUGGAGUUGGUACUAAUCUUCAUCUACUUCAAAUUGUUCAUGAAAUCUUUGUGAAAUUAGAUCCUACAGUAGAAGGUCUUAGUCAAUUUGGAAAUGAGAUAAAUUAUUAGAGUUAUAAUAUAAAUUAAAUAAUUGAAUUUCAUUUACUCAAUUUUUUACUUUCAAUUAUUUAAUAUGUAGCUUAUACUAUUUCGAGAUCCAAAGAGAGGAUUCGGUGAUCGAGCAGCGAUUCCUUCGAGGUCAGAAAUGGUUUUCAAUGAGUAUUAUUUGUGAAUUAAAAUACAUUUCAUUAGCAUAUUAUUGUAGAUUUCCAAUAUAAAUAUUGAUAUCAUUUAUUUGGUUGUAGUUGAAUAAUGGUUCAUGUAUGGAAACUAGACUCCUACAUUAAGAAGGUUGGCCAUCAAGGUUUUAUCACAAACUGUGUCAUUUUCAGCUUAUGAGAGAAGUUGAAGCAUGUUUGCUUUAAUUCAUACAAAGCAAAGAAAUUGGCUUUCUUACCCAAGGCUCUAACAAUUAGUUUUAUGUUAUUAUAACAUGAAACUAAAGAUCCGUGAUAUGGAGGUAGAGAAUGACAAAGUUGUGGAGAAAGAUUACAUCGAUUUACUUGACAUUUCAACCGAGGUAGGUCAAGAAAAAGAUAACCAAUUAUUUCAAUGAGUUAGACCUCUUCGUUUAGAUGAUGAAGAUGGAAAUCCAGACUCACGAAUUGUCACACAUGUUCGAGAAACAGGUGUUGAUGUUGAAUGAGUGUUAUCUAAAGAAGUUCAUACUAAUAGUUUCAACCAAGACACGAGAGAUUCAUUUCAACAAGGAACUUCUUAGCUGACAAUCACUUAUUGACCUUCUUUUGACUCCACGAGUGUUGAACAUAGUAGCAGACCUAAUGUUGUUGGUACUUUUGCUUUCAGUUAUGAUGGUUCAAGAUGAGAGGGGACCAAUGAUGGUAGCGACCUUGGAAAUGAUGGAGGGGAUGUUAGACAACAACAACAAAGUGGACAACCAUUGACAUUUACUUGUGAAGAUGAUUUCACACAUUAUACUCAAGAUGAAGACCACAACUCUAGAAGAGUUGGUCCGGGUGUUGGAGCCAUUGGAAAGCCAUAUAGAGGAAGAUAACGAAGGAUGACACCAUACAAUGAGGACUCAUUGUCGGCCAAUUUUAAGUUAAUGAGUAUAGAGACUCAAUUCAGUGACUCGUCAAAUGAAGCCAACAUUUAUGCCCUUUUUGUAAUGAGUUAUGGUCAGCCUCUUCCAAAUCUUUCAAGUUCCAUUAAUAAAGAGUACGAAAGGUAUAACUAUCCUAUUUCCACACAAAUGUCGUACUACUUUCCAUAUCAGAUGCAACAAUAAGGAUUUCAAACGAACACAUGGGAAAACCCUAGAUUUCCCAUCCAUAGAGAGGUUGUGGGUAGGACUCAAGAAAUUUAUGCAUGGCAUGUUCGUACUUACAAUCAAUACUAUCAAAACUCCAUGUCCUAGUAUGAAUAUUGUCUUCAACAAGAUAGGCACCCUUCAUCUAACAAUAUGAUGGAACCACAUUGAUAUUCAUUUUGGUAUUAAGGAUUAUUGCAAUGUCAUAUGUAUUAUGUUUAUGUAUAAAUUGUUUUCAUUUAAUAAAAUCACAUAUUUCUUAACUCAAUUCUAACUUUCUAAGUGUACAAUUCCAAAAUUCAUAUUUUCUAUUCUUAAUAUCCAAGUAUCGAAUCUACUGAUAUAUCUCUGUUUAUCGAUAUUUUUCUCCUUAACCAUAUUCAUGCCAAUUACACUUACAAAAUAACUUUAACAUGUGUAUUCUUGCUUAUUUUACAUUUUUUGGAGUUUUCCAAACAUUCCCAUCAAUUUUGAAUAAUUUUCGUCUUACUGAUAUUUGUGUAAAAAUAUUCACUGAUAUUUCUCUAGUAUUUCUUAUAUAUCUAUAAAAUCUAUCCUGGUACAUCUUCCUCAUUAUCUAAUUAUUUUUAACUAAUUUUUUCUUAAUGUAAAGAUUUAAUUAAUUCUAAUUAAACUUUCUACAAAAUAUCUACUACUAAUUAUCAUCAAACUAAUUAAUUUUAGUUAAUUUUAAUUAAUAUACUAAUCACAAUUAACCUCAAAAUAUCAUUAAUUAGAAUAAUUAAAUCAUUUUAGAUAAUUAAAAUCAAGAUAUUAAAUAAAAAAUAAAAUAUCAUCUUCUUCUUUUUUUAAUCUUCUUCAUCUAUUUCCCAAAUUAAAACCUAAAUUUCCAAAUCAAAUCCUAAAUGGAAAAAAUUCUAAAUACUAAAAUUUCUUUCAAAUCUUUAUGCAGUUCCCAAAUGAAACCUUAAAUGGACAAAAAGAAAAUCUAAUUUUAAAUCUCUAUGCUCCUCCUAAAUCAUGCAAACCUUAAAUAGGAGAAAAAAAAAAUCUACACCCUAAUUCUAAUCCUAAAUUUCCUUUUUAAUUUUUGUGUACUUCUCAAAUCAAAGAAAAAUAUUAUGAAGCCUAAAUAAAUAAAGUGCACUGCUUAUGUGAGAAGAAAGCAAGGUGCUCCAAAUUUAAGUGAGAAAAAAAAACAAGUACGGCCUUGGGAAGAUAGGAAAGGUAUGCUAAGAAUUCUAAAGAAGAUAGAGGGCAUGUUGCCUCAUCCAUUGAAUGCUAUGUGAAGUAAUAUAGUGUCUUAGAACAACAGGCUUAUGAUGAGUUUAACAAGCAAAUUGCGAAUCCAUGGAAGGAUAUUGCAUCCUUAUUCAUUGACUAUGUGCCGGUAUGAGCAAAUAAAUGAAAGUUAAUUCCAGCUUCUUCCAUAUUGUCCCCAAUAGAAAGGGAAUAAUAUGUAUUAACGUCAUUGUAAUAAGAUUGGAAUAAGAACAUGUUUGGCAUUUGAAAAUAAGGAAUGGGAAUGAAAUUUUUUUUUCCAUUCCUAUUUCUUCUUAAAUAAGAAUAAAUUUGAUAAUUUCAAUUAUUGUAUUUGGAUACAGAAAGCAAUGUAAGGUUUGUAAAGUUUGAAUUAUUAUUUGUUUUUAUUUCAAUGUUAAAGUAAAAACGGGAAUGAUAACAAAAUAAAUAAAUAAAUAAAUUGGCAAUAAUAUUCAUACAUAUAAUUUAAAAUAAUCUUUUAUUUUUAAUUCAAAAAAAAAAAAUCUCUUACACAAUACAUCAUUUUUAUAGUUUUUUUUAUUUUCAUUUAAAAAAGGAAAAUGUUAAAUUUUUCAAAAGUUUCAUGGAAUUUAAGGCCGAUGGAUAUGAAUUUAUUAUCCUUGUCUAUGAUAAGAAAAAUUAUAAUUGAUGUAGAGAGUAAUCUUGGAGCAUAUAGAUUUUUCCUGAAAGGUUCACAAUGUGCUAAUCAUAUUAAUGUAUUUUUGGUGGUUGAAAGAAUUGGACUUGGGAAGGUUAAUUGUGGAUGGUUGGGAUGCACUUUGAGUCUCAUACAUACAUGGAUCUAACUUGGAUGAAUGUUCUUCACUUGAACUUUUCAGAAAUCUGAUGUUCAAAGCUUGCCCAAUCAUCCCAAGCUUCCUAUACUUUUCAAAAAAAAGGUAGAAUAAUUUUUUUCUUCUUUUACUUAGCUUAGUUUGAAUUUAAUUUUUCAAUUAUGAAUAAUUAGAAAUAUAUGCACACAUCUUUGGACAUGUCAUAUGACACUUGAGAGAAUUACCCAAACUCUCAUGAACUUAGGUUGGAAGAAUGACUACUUAAUAGUGAGAACCUUCAAUUUUCCAAGGAUUUUUUAUAAAUGUAUGGAAUUUUUAAAAAUUAUUUUCUAAAAUACUAUAAAUCAGAAAAUAAUUCCAAUUUUACGAUACUUUAGACACAUAGGAGAAAUGUGGAAAAAAUAUAUAUUAUAUUUUAACUUUUUUGACUCAACCUAUUUUUAUAUAUCUUGAAUUUGAUUUUAUGUUAAAGGUGUUUCUUCAAGAAAUAUUUUUCACAAAUUUUAAAUUUGCGAUAUAUACUUAAAAAAUUGAAUUUAAACUAAAAAUGUUUUUUCAAAAGACAUUCUCUAUAAUUUUAGAAAAUUGGAUUUAUAGUAAAAGGUGUCUUUUGAAAACACUAUUUACACAAUUUCACAAAAUCUAAUAUAUACUAAAGGUGUCUCUUGAAAAGACAAUUUUCACAAUUUUAAAAAAAUCAAUACAUACUAACGGUGUCUCUUGAAGAGACACCUUCCACAAUUUCAGAAAUUUUAAUUUAUACUACAAGUGUCUCUUGAAUUUGAUUUUAUAUAGAAGACAUCUUUCACAAUUCCAAAAAAAAAAAAAAUCCAAUAUAUACUAAAGGUGUCUCUACACCUUUCACAAUUUUACAAAUUUUAAUUUAUAUUACAAGUGUCCCUUAAUUUUGAUUUUAUAUUGAAGGCAAACACUUUCUAAAAUUCAAAAAAAAAAAAAAAAUUGGAUUUAUAUUAAAGAUGUCUCUUAAAGAGGCACCUUCUACGAUUUCACAAAAUCCAAUAUAUAUUAAAGGUAUUUCUUCAAAAUGCAUCUUUUAUAUAAAAUUAAAUUUAUUAAAUUUAAGAAACGCUUAUAGUAUAAAUUAAAAUUUUUGAAAUUGUUGAAGGUAAAAAUUAAAAAUAAAAAUAAAAUUCAAGACACCUUUAGUAUAUAUUGGAAUUUGUAGAAUUGUGGAAAAUGUUUUUUUUAAGAGAUACAUUUAGUAUAAAUCCAAUUUUUUUUUAGAAUUAUAGAAAGUGUCUUUUUUAAUAUAAAAUCAAAUCCAAGAAACACUUGUAAUAUAGAUUAAAACUUGUUGUGAAAAGUGUUUCUUGAAGAGAUACCUUUAGUAUAAAUCUAUUUUUUUUUCAAUAUAAAAUAAAAUUCAAGAGACAUUUGUAAUAUAAAUUAAAAUUUGUUAACUUGUGGAAGGUAUCUCUUGAAGGGACACCUUUAGCAUAUAUCAGAUUUUGUAAAAUUAUGAAAAAGUCUUUUCAAGAGAUACUUUCAUUAUAAAUCCAAUUUUUUUGUAAAAUUGUGAAAAAGUCUUUUCAAGAGAUACUUUCAUUAUAAAUCCAAUUUUUUUGAAUUGUAGGUGUCUCUUAAAGAAACACUUUUAAUUUAAAUUCAAUUCUUCUAAGUGAAUAUAAAAUAUUUGAAAAUUAUAGAAAGUCUCUUCAAAAAAACUUUUUACAUACUACGUAAAUCUAUCAAUAUUUUUUCAACUAUCAUUUUUAAAGAAUUAUUUUUUAAAUUUACAGGAUGAGUUAAAAAAACCCCAAUUUUCCAAACAAUAACUUCAUCCCUGCGGUAACCUCAACCAAGUUUCUACGAGCCUAUAACUAAUAUUGAAUUUGGGGGGACUAUUAAUACCUUCAUGGAAUAGCAAGUCUUCGUCAAUGAUCACAUUAUACACGCAUUAGCUAGAAGAAAUAAUGUAUUUCGUACGUGAGCUUUUAAUUUCUUUUCAUCAUCAAAGGUCCUUUCCUUUGAAAGUAUUCAUGGUCCAUAUCAUUAUCUUUCAUGCCAGUGUUAGGCCAAUUUAUGAAUUUGGACCCCUUAUUUCACCAUAUAUAGCUAUUGUGAACAUGAUGGACCAUCUAACUUCAAUAAUUUAGCUUCAAUCAAAUUUUUAGAAUAAUCACCUCAAAUCAAGUUAGACAUGUUAUUACUAAGAUUUGGUAUAUCCUCUAAUUCUCUUAAAUAUUAAAGUCAUUAAAUCAGUAAAUAAGUGAGUUUCUUUCUAUUAUAAGUUUGACUUAAAAGAUAUUUAAUAAAUCUAUAUAAUGAUUUAAUAUAACUUAAUUACUUAUUUUAAAUAAUACGAGCAAUUUACAAUAAUAAAUGAAAAUAAAUAAUUUUUCUAAACCAUAAAUAUCAUUUGAUUUAGUUACUUAUGUUUUUUCUCUUCUUCUCUUUCAACAUUUUAUUUGCUGAUAUUAUUUAAAGUAAAAUAAGUCGAACAAUUUAAGGGUAGAAAUUUUAUUGGGGUUCGAUGUUCUAGGAACCAUAUACUUGAAAAGUCUAAAAUACACUUCGAUGCAUGGAUAUAACUUGGAUGAAUGUUCUUCACUUGAAGAAUCAAGUCAAGCUUACUUUGCUGAGGCAAAAUGAUUUCAUGGAUUAUUCUUAUUAUUAUUACUAGUACUACUCCUUUGUGUUAGACAUCCUUAAUGUUAUAUCACCGAGGGUAUGAAUAUUUUUUUUUUUUUUUCCCUCUUCUUUCUUAGUGCUGUUUUAUUAUAUGCUUCAGAAAAUUUCAGGUUCGAUGUCGAAACUUUGUCUAAAAACAUUGUUGAAAUCAACUAUGGUCUAUGACAAAUAGUGAAUAUAACAUACAACAAAGUACGUACUUUAGAAUUGCAGGAACAUACAAUAACCUACAAUAUCACUGUAUUAGACUGAUAUACUUCUUGAUUUUUUUUUCUAAAAAACUACGUUUGAUUUUUUGCAAUAAAUUUGUUUGACAGCUCCAUUCAGUUGUCAUGUGAUAUAUGAGGGACCAACUAAAGUAAUCCGUGAACCGACAAGAGUUGUGGAAACGUCAGCUCAAUAGGAUGAGAUGAUGCGGAUGAGUCAACACACAACAGUGGAUUAAUUCUGAGAAGUUAAAUAAUCAGCUAGCUUGGAAAUUGGCUUUAAGAGAAAAGCCAUGGAUGGAAUCUUAGAAGAUCUCAAGGAAUAUUAGGGGAUGCCUUCGUCUACAAUAUCAGAGAAUGAAGAGGAAUAUGGCUUUUCAGAAAUCUGAUGUUCAAAGCUUCCCCGAUCAUCCCAAGCUUCCAAUACUUAUCCAAAAAAGGUAGAAUAAUUUUUUUCUUCUUUUACUUAGCUUAGUUUGAAUUUAAUUUUUCAAUUAUGAAUAAUUAGAAAUAUAUGCACACAUCUUUGGACAUGUCAUAUGACACUUGAGAGGCUUACCCAAACUCUCAUGAACUUAGGUGGGAAGAAUGACUACUCAAUAGCAAGAACCUUCAAUUUUCCAAGGAUUUUCUAUAAAUGUAUGGAAUUUUUAAAAAUUAUUUUCUAAAAUACUGUAAAUCAGAAAAUAAUUCCAAUUUUAUGACACUUUUGGACACAUAGGAUAAAGGUGGAAAAAAAAAUUAUAUUUUAACUUUUUUGACUCAACCUAUUUCUAUACCUCUUGAAUUUGAUUUUAUAUUGAAGAUGUUUUUUCGAGAGACAUCUUAAAUCUUAGGUAUACAUGUAAAAGAAUUGAAUUUAAAAUAAAAGUGUCUUGAAAUUUGAAUUUAUAGUAAAAGGUGUUUUUUAAAAAGACAAUUUUCACGAUUUCACAAAAUCCAAUAUAUACUAAAAGUGUCUCUUAAAAAUACAAUUUCACAAAAUUCAAUACAUACUAAAGGUGUGUCUCUUCAAUAAAUUUUAUACUACAAGUGUCUUCUGGAUUUGAUUUUAUAUAGAAAAUAUCUUUCACAAUUCUAAAAAAAAAAUCCAAUAUAUACUAAAGGUGUCUUUACACCUUCCACAGUUUCACAAAUUUUAAUUUAUACUACAAGUAUCUCUUAAUUUUGAUUUUAUAUUGAAGGUAAACACUUUCUACAAUUCGAAAAAAAAAAAAAAGGAUUUUUAUUAAAGGUGUCUCUUAAAGAGGCACCUUCUACAAUUUCGCAAAAUUCAAUAUAUACUAAAGGUAUUUCUUCAAAAAAUGUCUUCUAUAUAAAAUCAAAUUUAAGAAACACUUGUAGUAUAAAUUAAAAUUUGUGAAAUUGUUGAAGGAGAAAAUUAAAAAUAAAAUUAAAAUUCAAGACACCUUUAAUAUAUAUUAAAAUUUGUGGAAGUGUGGAAAAUGUUUUUUUAAAGGAUACCUUUAUUAUAAAUCCAUUUAAAAAAAAAUUGUAGAAUGUGUCUCUUUUAAUAUAAAAUCAAAUCCAAGAGACAUUUGUACUAUAAAUUAAAACUUGUGAAAUUGUGAAAAGUGUUUUUUGAAGAAACACCUUUAAUAUAUAUUGAAUUUUAUCACCUUUAGUAUAAAUCCAAAAAAAAAAUUAAUAUAAAAUCAAAUUCAAGAGACAUUUAUGAUAUAAAUUAAAAUUUGUGAAAUUGUGUAAGGUAUGUCUUGAAGGGACACCUUUAGCAUAUAUUGGAUUUUGUUGAAUUAUGGAAAGCGUAUUUUCAAGAGAUAUUUUCAGUAUAAAUCCAAUUUUUUGGAAUUAUAGAAGGUGUUUCUUAAAGAAACACCUUUAAUUUAAAUUCAAUUCUUCUAAGUGAAUAUCAAAUAUUUGAAAAUUGUAAAAAGUGUCUCUUCAAAAACACCCCGAAGACAUGGUAAUUCAAUGAAAAUAUGUUUAUAUACUUAUUUGGAAGUUAUUUUUCUUAAUUUGUUGGUCUAGGUUACAAGUGCCUACAAAGAGGAGCAGAUUGAGGAUCUGAAAAAUGAAUUGAAAAUGGAAUUAUACAUAGUGUUGACUAUAAGAAUUUUAGUGGAUUCAAAUGUCUUAGUCAACUAAACUAUUCUAAUUUUAGUAAAUGGUAUGCACAAAAUGACAAUUCAUUUUGAUGAUUCCAAUCUAUUUUAAAUACCAAAGAAAGUUUUGAUUUUUUUUUAUUUACAAAAAAUGCUUCAAAGUACUUUUCAUAAAAUAAAAAAAAAAGAAUUAUUUUCACAAAUUUUAUUUACCAACAUUCCAAUUUGAUUUUCAUGCAGAAAGAAACUAUUUUUAUAAUUUUUAUUAAAAUAUGAUUUUUUUUUUCAAUUUUUUUUUUAAAGUAUCUAAAUCUAAUCUUAUGUCCAAGAGAAUACUUUUACAAAUUCUUUAAGAAAAGGAUUUUUAAAAUUUUAUUUUUUUCUAAAAAAAAUUACAAAUUUAUUUAGAAAAGAAUAAAUAUUGGGAUCCAAUUUUAAUUACACAAAAAAUUAUUUUUUUUUAUUGAAAAUAAGAUUUUUACAUUUUUAUUUACAUAAGUAUGAAAAUCCAUUUCCAUUUUAUUUACUAAAAUGCAUUAUUUUUUUUUUACUAUUUUUAAUAAGACAUGAUUUUUACAAUUUUUUUUAAAGUUUACGAUUUUAUUAAAAAAAAGGUUUUGCAAUUUUUUUUUAACAAAUUUUUUAAUGUUUUAUUAAAACAAAAUGAUUUCUAGAUUUUAUUUUUAAAAAAUGAUUUUCAAAAGUUAUAAAUAAAUAAAUAAAUAAAUAUCGAUUUUCCAACUGUAUUUACAAUUGAUUUAAAAACGGAUUUUACAGUUUUUUUAAAAAACACAUUUUAUUGUUUUAGCUCAUUAAUUUUAAUGUUAAGGUAUCAGCCCAAUUGACUUGAUUUAUAUUAACUUAAAACUUUUGUUCUAAUAGGUACCUUGAUACAACGGCAAAGCCUCGAUUUAUACAGGAGGUCUUGAAGGUGAACUGUGAACCUUACUUAUGUGUACUCAAUUCUGGAAGGUUGUCAACGUUGCCGAUUUUGAACUUCAAUAUUCAGCUCAACAUAGUUUUAGGAUGUCACAUUAGGCAGUCUGGAAGUUUCAUUCAUCUAGUUCAGAUGUGUAAGUUCUGACAUUCAGCUUGGCAAAUUUUGGAAUGAUAAUUGGAUCUAGGAUGGCAUGGCACUCUGUUUGAGCAGGAAGAGUUUUGGAGUUUGGGGUUGGUGGACAAGAUGUGUCCCUGAAAAGAGAUUGAUGCCUACCAUUGAGCUUCUCAAUCACUUGGUUUAGAAAUUAUAGUUUUAGGUCACAGGAAAAUGAAAAAAAAUGUGCAAUGCACCACAAAAACAAUUACAUCAUUACCUAGCUCUCAUAUUCCCAAUGAAUUGACCUAGCCAUAGUCGUGGUCCCCCAAUCCAACUGCCCUUAUCAUAACCUGUCAAACCAUAAUAUUUAAAUAUGGGACAUUUUAUGCAUUCAUCAUGUGAAGAUCAAAUAAAACAACAGAGAUCGAUACAACAAAUUCACGUUACAUAAUAAAAAGCAAUAUCAAACGAGGCAAACAAACCUUAAUAGACCAAAGCCACCAAGCAGCAAUUGAAAAAACCACGAAGGGUUUAUCCCCAUACAUAUACUUUGGAAAAUGAAACAGAAGCUAGAAUAUACCAUCUUUAUUUGUGUAACAUAUCUCCACUCUCAUAUUGGCACAGGGUCUAUGAGCAGCAUUGAAAUAUUAUUUUUCAUCACUUCUCCAAGAUGUGUAAAUUCAUCUUUCUGCCCCUUGUACAUCACAUCUGCUGCUCGAGCAAAAUUGAGAAGACGACUAAGGAGAAGCAUUGGAACUGCAGUAGGUUUGAGGCACUCUUCAUUUAUAUCCUUCCAUGCAUUCUCGAGUUGCUUGUGAAACUCCUCAUAUGCUUGUUGCUCGGAGACACCAUGUUGCUUCAUGUAACAUUCGAUACUUGAUGCAAUAUGCCCUCUCUCUUGCUCAAACUGCAUACAUAGUAAUAUAAGAUGUUAAAAAGAAAUUGGUAUAUAUAUAUAAUAGAUUUUCUUUAAGAUCCCUUUCUCUUUAUGUGAUUGAUAUUCAAGUAUCAGUAGGAAGUGUUGUUUCAUUGUACCUUGUGCGUAGCCAUGUCAUCCAUGAGCCUAAUGACUUUGGAGGAAGCUCUAACAAUCUUAGGGUUUUGUUGCAGCCAAUCAAAGACUUCCUUGGUUGCAAUCUCUCCCAUGCCAAUAAAAGAGAUGAAUGUUAACACGGGGGCACCAAUACUAACCAAUGCAACACGCAUGUACUCUUCUAUUGUUGGUAUGUAUUUUCCAUGGAACCAUUUGGCUUCAACCAAGUAAGCUUGGACCAAGUUUUUCAUCUAGGAUAAAAAUUCAGCCAAGUAAAUAUAUCAUGCAAGUGUUAUAUAUGGCAUUUUAUUUACAAUACUAUAUAGGAUAUCAUAAACACAAUGGAGUUCAGAGAAUCCUACUGCAUCUUUUGCUUGGUGCACAGAGUGUGAUCUUUCUGUGUUUUCCAUGUCCUCGAUUUCUUUGUAGGCAUCUAAGACUGCCUGAUAGCAUGGCUUCAUGUAUUCAGGAAGCUGAUGUGUGCUGUCAAUAUCCCACCUAAAAAUCAAGUACCAAGUUCCCUUUUAAAGUUCAAGUAUGAAAUCAAUGAAUUAGUUGUGGGUAAUUUUAAUCUUGCAUAGAUCAAACCUCCCAAUUGCCUCCGUAAAGAACUCCAGUUCUUCAAGUGUUCCAUAUGCAUCAAAUAUGUCAUCCGUAGUUGUCAUCAGAGCAUGUAAUUUGGUCUGUAUUCUUCUAGCAUAUGAAUACUGGGGCUCAAAACAAGCUAUUGCUAUCCAAAAGUACCCUUCCACCAAUCUAUCUCUUACAAAAGGUAGCUUUGAAGAAAAAUCUAGGUCUUUCCACCACCUGAGAAAAUACAUUAAUUCACAUACCGUAAACAGCUUUAACAUAAGUUCAUACAUGAUUUGAAAACUAACCCCAGGAUAUUGCUUAGCUCUUUUUUAUACAGUGACUGCAGUUGGUUGAAGUCUAACUUUGCAAGCUUCAGUAAAGCUUUACUAUGUGACGCUUCAUCCUGGUAGAUAGACAUGAAAGGCCUUGCCUCUAGCCUCUCCAAGCCUUUCCUCAAGGGCCUGUAUAGGGCAUGAGUUACUUGUGCUGCAAGAGGGUAUUCUAAAUGUUCUACCAUAGACUUGAGGUGAGUGGUGGUGAAAGCAAGUGCUUCAUCUAGUAUGUCUUCUUCCCACACCCUGAGAUGUGCAGCUUCAUACAAGCCUAGUAGGCCAUAUGCAUCAUUGAUCAAAGACUCCUUGAACCUUCCC
RNAcentral lists this long non-coding RNA (23349 nucleotides) under Vitis vinifera (wine grape). RNAcentral's name for it is "long non-coding RNA (VVIN_LNC007087)". The record is from RNAcentral. Lineage: Eukaryota; Viridiplantae; Streptophyta; Magnoliopsida; Vitales; Vitaceae.